Molecule: ribosomal RNA, 235 nt
Filed under: uncultured bacterium
Lineage: Bacteria
Description: partial 16S ribosomal RNA
Rfam family: Bacterial small subunit ribosomal RNA
Source: RNAcentral
UGAGGAACAUGACCUUCGGCGGGGGAGUAGCCGGCCCAACGGCCGGGUAAUACCGCGUACGACCACAUGGGGACAUCCCUGAGUGGUGAAAGCAGCAAUGCGCCGAUGGAGUGCCUCGCGGCCUAUCAGCUAGUUGGUGUGGGUAAUGGCCCACCAAGGCGACGACGGGUAGCCGGCCUGAGAGGGUGACCGGCCACACUGGGACUGAGACACGGCCCAGACUCCUACGGGGAGG